UCAAGUUAUUAAGGGUGCAGGGCGGAUGCCUUGGCACUAGGAGCCGAUGAAGGACGUGAUAAGCUGCGAUAAGCUUCGGGGAGUUGCACGUAAACUUUGAUCCGAAGAUUUCCGAAUGAGGAAACUCACUUAGAGUAAUGUCUAAGUAUCAUUAAGUGAAUACAUAGCUUAAUGAGGGGAACUCAGGGAACUGAAACAUCUAAGUACCUGAAGGAAGAGAAAGAAAUUCGAUUCCGUAAGUAGCGGCGAGCGAACGCGGAUUAGCCCAAACCAAUAAAGUUUUCUUUAUUGGGGUUGCGGACAUAUCAUAACGAAGAGGUAUCGUAAUUGAAGAGGUUUGGAAAGACCCACCACAGAAGGUAAUAGUCCUGUAUGUUAAACGAGAAGACUUCAGAUAUGAUCCAGAGUACCACGGGACACGUGAAACCCUGUGGGAAGCAGGAGGGACCACCCUCCAAGGCUAAAUACUACCUAGUGACCGAUAGCGUAUAGUACCGUGAGGGAAAGGUGAAAAGAACCCCGGGAGGGGAGUGAAAUAGAACCUGAAACCCUGCACUUACAAGCUGUGGAAGCACAUUUCUUGUGUGACCGCGUACUUUUUGUAGAACGGGCCAACGAGUUACGUUAAGUAGCAAGGUUAAGCACUUAAGGUGCGGAGCCGUAGCGAAAGCGAGUUUUAACUGAGCGUUCAGUUACUUGACGUAGACCCGAAACCGGGCGACCUACCCAUGAGCAGGAUGAAGCGAAAGUAAAAUUUCGUGGAGGUCCGAACCCACGAGCGUUGAAAAGCUCGGGGAUGACUUGUGGGUAGCGGUGAAAUUCCAAUCGAGCCCGGAGAUAGCUGGUUCUCCCCGAAAUAGCUUUAGGGCUAGCCUCAAGGUGAGAGAUACGGAGGUAGAGCACUGAAUGUCCUAGGGGGUAUUGCACCUACCGAAGACUAUCAAACUCCGAAUGCCGUCAUCUUAUACUUGGGAGUCAGACUGUGGGUGAUAAGAUUCAUAGUCGAAAGGGCAACAGCCCAGAUCGUCAGCUAAGGUCCCUAAAUGUAAGUUAAGUGGUAAAGGAUGUGGGAUUGCACAGACAACCAGGAUGUUGGCUUAGAAGCAGCCACUCAUUCAAAGAGUGCGUAAUAGCUCACUGGUCGAGUGAUCCUGCGCCGAAGAUUUCCGGGGCUAAAACUUACUACCGAAGCUACGGCAUCAGUAAUGAUGGGUAGGGGAGCUUCCCAUACGGGUUGAAGCAUGACCGUAAGGACAUGUGGACAGUAUGGGAGUGAGAAUGUUGGCAUGAGUAGCGAGAUGUGGGUGAGAAUCCCACAGGCCGUAAACCCAAGGUUUCCAGGGGAAGGUUCGUCCGCCCUGGGUUAGUCGGGACCUAAGCUGAGGCCGAAAGGCGUAGGUGAUGGACAACAGGUUGAUAUUCCUGUACUACCGAUAACCGUUUGAGAGAAGGGAUGACACAGUAGGAUAAGCUAAGCACACUGUUGGUUAUGUGUGCCCAAGCAUUGAGGCAGUCAAAGCAGGCAAAUCCGCUUUGAUAAUGCUGGGAUGUGAUGGGGAGCGAAAUUUAGUAGCGAAGUAGCUGAUUUCACACUGUCAAGAAAAGUCUCUAUCGAGGUUAAAGGUACCCGUACCGCAAACCGACACAGGUGGGUGAGGAGAGUAUCCUAAGGCCAGCGAGAGAACUGUUGUUAAGGAACUCGGCAAAAUGACCCCGUAACUUAGGGAUAAGGGGUGCCACCAUCCGGUGGCCGCAGAGAAUAGGCCCAAGCGACUGUUUACCAAAAACAUAGGUUUCUGCUAAGUCGCAAGACGAUGUAUAGGAGCUGACGCCUGCCCGGUGCUGGAAGGUUAAGGGGAUCUGUUAGAGCAAUCGAAGCAGUGAACUUAAGCCCCAGUAAACGGCGGCCGUAACUAUAACGGUCCUAAGGUAGCGAAAUUCCUUGUCGGGUAAGUUCCGACCCGCACGAAAGGCGUAACGAUUUGGGCACUGUCUCAACAACAGACUCGGUGAAAUUGUAAUUCCGGUGAAGAUGCCGGAUACCUGCGACAGGACGGAAAGACCCCAUGGAGCUUUACUGUAGCUUGACAUUGGGUCUUGGUACUACAUGUACAGGAUAGGUGGGAGGCUUUGAAACCAGGACGCCAGUUUUGGCGGAGCCAUCCUUGGGAUACCACCCUUGUAGUACUGGGACUCUAACCAUAGGCCAUGAAUCUGGUCUUGGGACACUGUCAGGUGGGCAGUUUGACUGGGGCGGUCGCCUCCCAAAAGGUAACGGAGGCGCUCAAAGGUUCUCUCAGUACGGUCGGAAAUCGUACGUAGAGUGUAAAGGCAAAAGAGAGCUUGAUUGCAAGACAUACAGGUCGAGCAAGGAUGAAAAUCGGACUUAGUGAUCCGGUGGUUCUGCGUGGAAGGGCCAUCGCUCAACGGAUAAAAGCUACCCUGGGGAUAACAGGCUUAUCUCCCCCAAGAGUCCACAUCGACGGGGAGGUUUGGCACCUCGAUGUCGGCUCAUCACAUCCUGGGGCUGUAGUAGGUCCCAAGGGUUGGGCUGUUCGCCCAUUAAAGUGGUACGCGAGCUGGGUUCAGAACGUCGUGAGACAGUUCGGUCCCUAUCCGUCGCAGGCGUAGGAAAUUUGAGAAGACCUGUCCUUAGUACGAGAGGACCGGGAUGGACGUACCUCUGGUGUACCAGUUGUUCUGCCAAGGGCAUGGCUGGGUAGCUAUGUACGGAAUGGAUAAGCGCUGAAAGCAUCUAAGCGCGAAGCCAACUUCAAGAUAAGAUUUCCCACCGCAGGGGUAAGACCCCAGAAAGACUAUCUGGUUGAUAGGUCGAAGGUGUAAGUGCAGCAAUGUAUUUAGCUUAUCGAUACUAAUAGGUCGAGGACUUGACCAA
RNAcentral lists this ribosomal RNA (2896 nucleotides) under Clostridioides difficile BJ08. RNAcentral's name for it is "bacterial LSU rRNA". It matches the Rfam family "Bacterial large subunit ribosomal RNA". The record is from RNAcentral. Lineage: Bacteria; Bacillati; Bacillota; Clostridia; Peptostreptococcales; Peptostreptococcaceae.